GGAGCGGUAGCUCAGCAGGUAGAGCGCGCGGCUGAAGCCCGCGAGGCCGAAGGUUCGAUGCCUUCCUGCUCCA
This 73-nucleotide transfer RNA is filed under the name Actinomycetota bacterium. RNAcentral's name for it is "Actinobacteria bacterium tRNA-Phe". It matches the Rfam family "tRNA". Rfam says of the family: Transfer RNA (tRNA) molecules are approximately 80 nucleotides in length. Lineage: Bacteria; Bacillati; Actinomycetota. The record is from RNAcentral.